RNAcentral lists this ribosomal RNA (465 nucleotides) under Vreelandella stevensii. RNAcentral's name for it is "partial 16S ribosomal RNA". It matches the Rfam family "Bacterial small subunit ribosomal RNA", at positions 338 to 795 of the family's 1533-position model. Lineage: Bacteria; Pseudomonadati; Pseudomonadota; Gammaproteobacteria; Oceanospirillales; Halomonadaceae. The record is from RNAcentral.
CCUACGGGUGGCAGCAGUGGGGAAUAUUGGACAAUGGGCGAAAGCCUGAUCCAGCCAUGCCGCGUGUGUGAAGAAGGCCUUCGGGUUGUAAAGCACUUUCAGUGGGGAAGAAAGCCUUGGGGCUAAUACCCUCGAGGAAGGACAUCACCCACAGAAGAAGCACCGGCUAACUCCGUGCCAGCGGCCGCGGUAAUACGGAGGGUGCGAGCGUUAAUCGGAAUUACUGGGCGUAAAGCGCGCGUAGGCGGUCUGAUAAGCCGGUUGUGAAAGCCCCGGGCUCAACCUGGGAACGGCAUCCGGAACUGUCAGGCUAGAGUGCAGGAGAGGAAGGUAGAAUUCCCGGUGUAGCGGUGAAAUGCGCAGAGAUCGGGAGGAAUACCAGUGGCGAAGGCGGCCUUCUGGACUGACACUGACGCUGAGGUGCGAAAGCGUGGGUAGCAAACAGGAUUAGAUACCCCAGUAGUC